This is a non-coding RNA of Biomphalaria pfeifferi, 764 nucleotides long. Lineage: Eukaryota; Metazoa; Mollusca; Gastropoda; Planorbidae. The record is from the annotation of a GenBank genome assembly.
CGCCCCCCCUCCUUUUUUUUCCACCUGUCAAUGAUGAUUUUAUUGUUUCUUAAAUCUUGUGGUGAAGGAUUACAUUAUUUCAACUUUUUAAUUCAAGAAAACAAACUGAUCUUCUGUCUACAGCUUAGAGGUGUGUAAUUUGUUGGAACUAGAACUUGUGACAUGAUUUUACAAGUUUAUUGGAAUAGAAGAUUUUUGUUUUCUUUGUUUCAUUUAAUCCCACUUAUUUCUACUUUUUUAAAAAAUUUAGUUGCCGACAAGCACAAUUGUUUAUGCUACCAUGUGAAAAAUCACCUUUGGUAUAGCACAAAAUAAAUAAGUUAAAACCCUUUUUUAGUAUAUUUUUUUUCUAAUAGACAAAUAUUUUCAUAAAUGAAUGUGUGAUACAAUCUUUUUAUUUAUUUAUUUAUUUUCAUUUUUUUUUAAAAUAAAUUUUAAUGAGACAUAGUUUUAUCUAAUUACAAUGAUUGAAGAAAAAUCCAUAAUUUAAAAGAAAAUGAAACUUAAGAUAACUAAUCAAGUCUCUUAAGUGUCCAGCUUUGGCAACACGGCAUAAAAUACUGCCGAAUUUUAUUUUAUAUGAAGCUAAUUAAAAUAAUAUGAGUUCUCACAUGUUUGCGUCAGUAAUUGUGUAUCAUCUCCCAACAAAAGGAUGUUCAGUAUUUUACUGUUGUUGUUUUUUUUUUUUAAAUGUAUGACCUUUGACUUUUAGUUGAUCUGUUUGAUGUACAUUUUGAAUGUUAUUAAACAAAUUAUUUAAAUCA